Ursus americanus (American black bear) is the source of this 103-nucleotide small nucleolar RNA. Lineage: Eukaryota; Metazoa; Chordata; Mammalia; Carnivora; Ursidae. The record is from Ensembl.
UUGGCCGGUGAUGAGGACUUCUCCCACUCGCGUUCGAGUCCCCCUACCAAGACUAUCUGUCUCCUAUUACAAAAGCAGCCUCCCAGUGUUGCUGGUUGGCUGG